GCACCACAAGAACGCGUGGAGCAUGUGGCUUAAUUUGACUCAACGCGGGAAAUCUUACCGGGUCCGGACACACUGAGGAUUGACAGGCAAUAUCUUGGCUGUUUAAUAACCGUUUAUUAAUAAACGGUUUAUUAAACAGAUCGAGUGUUAAAUAUGCUAGUCCUUUCAUGAUUAUGUGAUAGGUGGUGCAUGGCCGUUCUUAGUUCGUGGAGUGAUCUGUCUGCUUAAUUGCGUUUCACUAAGGGCCCAUAAAUUCAAGGUAUGUUAGCAAUCGUCGCUCUAUGGACCCCUUAUUUCAGUUUAUUAAUAAACUGUUAUAAGCGCGCGUCUUGUUUAAAGAGUUUAAGACACUGCGCAUGCUGUUGGGCUCUGAAAGCAACGAACGUGACCGCAACGUCUUGUUGCCUUAAUCAAGUCGGCUGUUUAAUCUGUUUAAUUAAACAGACAGACAGCAGUCAUUAUGGCUUAUCCGAGGCUAUUUAAAACUAGACGAACCGCUGUUUCUUUUCUUAAACCAGAGGAAGGUUGCGGCAAUAACAGGUCUGUGAUG
RNAcentral lists this ribosomal RNA (550 nucleotides) under Neogloboquadrina pachyderma. Its description in RNAcentral is "SSU rRNA". It matches the Rfam family "Eukaryotic small subunit ribosomal RNA", at positions 1164 to 1469 of the family's 1831-position model. The record is from RNAcentral. Lineage: Eukaryota; Foraminifera; Rotaliida; Globorotaliidae.